This 1313-nucleotide ribosomal RNA is filed under the name uncultured Alphaproteobacteria bacterium. RNAcentral describes it as "uncultured alpha proteobacterium 16S ribosomal RNA". It matches the Rfam family "Bacterial small subunit ribosomal RNA", at positions 33 to 1393 of the family's 1533-position model. Lineage: Bacteria; Pseudomonadati; Pseudomonadota; Alphaproteobacteria. The record is from RNAcentral.
ACGCUGGCGGCACGCCUAACACAUGCAAGUCGAACGAAGUAGCAAUACUUAGUGGCAGACGGGUGAGUAACAUGUAGGUAUCUGCCCUUUGGCCUGGAAUAACACGAGGAAACUUGUGCUAAUACCGGAUAAGUCUUUACGGAGAAAGCUUUAUGCACCAUUGGAUGAGCCUGCACUUGAUUAGUUUGUUGGUGGGGUAAUGGCCUACCAAGACUGUGAUCAAUAGCUGAUUUGAGAGGAUGAUCAGCCACAUUGGGACUGAGACACGGCCCAAACUCCUACGGGAGGCAGCAGUGGGGAAUCUUGCACAAUGGAGGAAACUCUGAUGCAGCGAUGCCGCGUGAGUGAAGAAGGCCCUUGGGUUGUAAAGCUCUUUCGUCGGGGAAGAAAAUGACUGUACCCGAAUAAGAAGGUCCGGCUAACUUCGUGCCAGCAGCCGCGGUAAUACGAAGGGACCUAGCGUAGUUCGGAAUUACUGGGCUUAAAGAGUUCGUAGGUGGUUGAAAAAGUUAGUGGUGAAAUCCCAGAGCUUAACUCUGGAACUGCCAUUAAAACUUUUCAGCUAGAGUAUGAUAGAGGAAAGCAGAAUUUCUAGUGUAGAGGUGAAAUUCGUAGAUAUUAGAAAGAAUACCAAUUGCGAAGGCAGCUUUCUGGAUCAUUACUGACACUGAGGAACGAAAGCAUGGGUAGCGAAGAGGAUUAGAUACCCUCGUAGUCCAUGCCGUAAACGAUGUGUGUUAGACGUUGGAAAUUUAUUUUCAGUGUCGCAGGGAAACCGAUAAACACACCGCCUGGGGAGUACGACCGCAAGGUUAAAACUCAAAUGAAUUGACGGGGACCCGCACAAGUAGUGGAGCAUGUGGUUUAAUUCGAAGAUACGCGCAGAACCUUACCAACACUUGACAUGUUCGUCGCGACUCUAAGAGAUUAGAGUUUUCGGUUCGGCCGGACGAAACACAGGUGCUGCAUGGCUGUCGUCAGCUCGUGUCGUGAGAUGUUGGGUUAAGUCCCGCAACGAGCGCAACCCUCACUUUUAGUUGCCAUCAUUAAGUUGGGCACUCUGAAAGAACUGCCAGUGAUAAGCUGGAGGAAGGUGGGGAUGACGUCAAGUCCUCAUGGCCCUUACGUGUUGGGCUACACACGUGCUACAAUGGUAUCUACAACAGGAAGCAAGACUGCGAAGUUAAGCAAAUCCCUAAAAGAUACCUCAGUUCGGAUUGCACUCUGCAACUCGAGUGCAUGAAGCUGGAAUUACUAGUAAUCGUGGAUCAGCGUGCCACGGUGAAUGCGUUCCCGGGUCUUGUACACACCGC